Molecule: ribosomal RNA, 473 nt
Filed under: uncultured beta proteobacterium
Lineage: Bacteria; Pseudomonadati; Pseudomonadota; Betaproteobacteria
Description: bacterial SSU rRNA
Rfam family: Bacterial small subunit ribosomal RNA
Source: RNAcentral
UACGGGGGGCUGCAGUGGGGAAUUUUGGACAAUGGGGGCAACCCUGAUCCAGCCAUUCCGCGUGAGUGAAGAAGGCCUUCGGGUUGUAAAGCUCUUUUGUCCGGAACGAAACGGUGAGCGUGAAUAGCGCUCGCUACUGACGGUACCGGAAGAAUAAGCACCGGCUAACUACGUGCCAGCAGCCGCGGUAAUACGUAGGGUGCGAGCGUUAAUCGGAAUUACUGGGCGUAAAGCGUGCGCAGGCGGUUUUGUAAGCCAGAUGUGAAAUCCCCGGGCUUAACCUGGGAAUGGCAUUUGGGACUGCAAGGCUGGAGUGCGGCAGAGGAGACUGGAAUUCCUGGUGUAGCAGUGAAAUGCGUAGAUAUCAGGAGGAAUACCGAUGGCGAAGGCAGGUCUCUGGACUGACACUGACGCUCAUGCACGAAAGCGUGGGGAGCAAACAGGAUUAGAUACCCCGGUAGUAUCUUUCUAGA